Non-coding RNA from Picea glauca (white spruce), 45 nucleotides. The record is from Rfam. NCBI's taxonomy places the organism in Eukaryota, Viridiplantae, Streptophyta, Pinopsida, Pinales, Pinaceae.
CUCAAGGAUCUUCUAAGAUCCACAAAAAUCCUCAUGAGAUCUAUA